UAGUAAGAAGUAAAAAAAUUACAUUUAAUUUCGACCUAAAAAUAUGGCUUUAGCCCUUACUUU
Molecule: transfer RNA, 63 nt
Filed under: Curculio sp. SZ-2019
Lineage: Eukaryota; Metazoa; Arthropoda; Insecta; Coleoptera; Curculionidae
Description: tRNA-Arg
Source: RNAcentral